UGGGGAAUUUUGGACAAUGGGCGCAAGCCUGAUCCAGCCAUGCCGCGUGCGGGAAGAAGGCCUUCGGGUUGUAAACCGCUUUUGUCAGGGAAGAAAUCUUCUGAGUUAAUACCUCGGGAGGAUGACGGUACCUGAAGAAUAAGCACCGGCUAACUACGUGCCAGCAGCCGCGGUAAUACGUAGGGUGCAAGCGUUAAUCGGAAUUACUGGGCGUAAAGCGUGCGCAGGCGGUUUUGUAAGGCAGAGGUGAAAUCCCCGGACUCAACCUGGGAACUGCCUUUGUGACUGCAAGGCUUGAGUGCGGCAGAGGGGGAUGGAAUUCCGCGUGUAGCAGUGAAAUGCGUAGAUAUGCGGAGGAACACCGAUGGCGAAGGCAAUCCCCUGGGCCUGCACUGACGCUCAUGCACGAAAGCGUGGGGAGCAAACAGGAUUAGAUACCCUGGUAGUCCACGCCCUAAACGAUGUCAACUGGUUGUUGGGAAGGUUCCUUCCCAGUAACGUAGCUAACGCGUGAAGUUGACCGCCUGGGGAGUACGGCCGCAAGGUUGAAACUCAAAGGAA
RNAcentral lists this ribosomal RNA (561 nucleotides) under uncultured bacterium. Its description in RNAcentral is "partial 16S ribosomal RNA". It matches the Rfam family "Bacterial small subunit ribosomal RNA", at positions 355 to 909 of the family's 1533-position model. The record is from RNAcentral.